This 63-nucleotide transfer RNA is filed under the name Aradus compar. Its description in RNAcentral is "tRNA-Ile". The record is from RNAcentral. Lineage: Eukaryota; Metazoa; Arthropoda; Insecta; Hemiptera; Aradidae.
AGUGGAAUGCCUGAAUAAAGGAUUACCUUGAUAGGGUAAAUAAUGUAUGUUGUACUUUCACUA